CUUUUGCAGCUGAUUGACCAUGAAAAAUCAAGAAACGAGUCUGUUUUCAGGAUUUUGCUCAGUAGAAGAUGAAACAGGCACGUUGUUGCUUCACACUUGUUCAGGAAACUCGAACAUCUCCUGCAGCAGCGAGUCGGUCACCAGGACGAACUCGUCCUCUGGGAAAUCCUGUCAGCUGGAAACUGUUCUGAGGUCUGGUUCUGUCGGCUGCUGGUGGAAUCUGGGUUCUGUAGCUCAGAAUGAAGCCUUUAGACUCUCAGCAGGAUCAGUCCCAGUCGUACUUUACUACAGCUUUCCUUGUUAGAUAGAAGUCCA
Amphiprion ocellaris (clown anemonefish) is the source of this 315-nucleotide long non-coding RNA. The record is from Ensembl. NCBI's taxonomy places the organism in Eukaryota, Metazoa, Chordata, Actinopteri, Pomacentridae.